Molecule: non-coding RNA, 105 nt
Organism: Onchocerca ochengi
Lineage: Eukaryota; Metazoa; Nematoda; Chromadorea; Rhabditida; Onchocercidae
Source: Rfam
AUCGCUUCUCGGCCUAUUGGCUAAGAUCAAAGUGUAGUAUCUGUUCUUAUCAGCUUAAUCUCUGAUAUGUGAUCUAUCGAUCACUUCGAGAUUAUCCUAUUUUUG